AAAGGAAUUGACGGGGGCCCGCACAAGCGGCGGAGCAUGCGGAUUAAUUCGAUGCAACGCGAAGAACCUUACCAAGGCUUGACAUGUGCCAGAUCGGGCUAGAGAUAGUUCUUCCCUUUUGGGCUGGUUCACAGGUGGUGCAUGGUUGUCGUCAGCUCGUGUCGUGAGAUGUUGGGUUAAGUCCCGCAACGAGCGCAACCCUCGUUCUAUGUUGCCAGCACGUGAUGGUGGGGACUCAUGGGAGACUGCCGGGGUCAACUCGGAGGAAGGUGAGGACGACGUCAAAUCAUCAUGCCCCUUAUGUCUUGGGCUUCACGCAUGCUACAAUGGCCGGUACAAUGGGUUGCGAUACUGUGAGGUUGAGCUAAUCCCAAAAAGCCGGUCUCAGUUCGGAUUGGGGUCUGCAACUCGACCCCAUGAAGUCGGAGUCGCUAGUAAUCGCAGAUCAGCAACGCUGCGGUGAAUACGUUCCCGGGCCUUGUACACACCGCCCGU
This 495-nucleotide ribosomal RNA is filed under the name uncultured bacterium. RNAcentral's name for it is "bacterial SSU rRNA". It matches the Rfam family "Bacterial small subunit ribosomal RNA", at positions 903 to 1397 of the family's 1533-position model. The record is from RNAcentral.